AGUGUUAUGUCUGAUUAAAGUAAUAAAUUGUAAAUUUAUUUAAGAAAUAAAAUUUUCUAACAUUA
RNAcentral lists this transfer RNA (65 nucleotides) under Monomorium pharaonis (pharaoh ant). RNAcentral describes it as "tRNA-Tyr". Lineage: Eukaryota; Metazoa; Arthropoda; Insecta; Hymenoptera; Formicidae. The record is from RNAcentral.